This 341-nucleotide transfer-messenger RNA is filed under the name compost metagenome. RNAcentral describes it as "transfer-messenger RNA, SsrA". It matches the Rfam family "Alphaproteobacteria transfer-messenger RNA". Rfam says of the family: Bacterial tmRNA, also known as 10Sa RNA or SsrA, is named for its dual tRNA and mRNA-like properties. Its role is to liberate the mRNA from a stalled ribosome. The record is from RNAcentral.
UCUAUCUCAAUUAUGCCCCCGCAAGUGGGCUACGGUGCUAAACCUUAUAUGCAAUAGAUGUACAGGACGCGGCUUCGAAGCCGCCGCCUCCACCAAGAACAGCCGAAAGCGGCUGCUGUUGAUGGGGGCGAAAUGGGAUCGACUGGCAUUGAAAGAUAUAAGCUGUGCUCGGCAUGAUACCACCGUUAUCGGGUCAAAAAGUGUAGUUGCAAACGACAACAACGCUAAGGAAUACGCUCUCGCUGCCUAAUGGCGGUGCGGGAAUUCCGCUCUAAGUCCUUACGGUUAGCCCCGUAAGGCGGGGUUCGGAGGUACCUGGCAACAGAAACCUCCACCUUUCC